RNAcentral lists this long non-coding RNA (563 nucleotides) under Nicotiana benthamiana. Its description in RNAcentral is "long non-coding RNA (NBEN_LNC032857)". The record is from RNAcentral. Lineage: Eukaryota; Viridiplantae; Streptophyta; Magnoliopsida; Solanales; Solanaceae.
UGGGACAGAUGUAGCUUGAGAGUAAUACAAAGGUUCAGAUUUCAAAGUAGAAGAAGAGGAACCAGAAAAGGCAGGGAGUUGGCAGACAUAAUUCUUAAGAUAGGAAAGAGGAUUAUGCUGUCUAGUGGACUUUCUAGGAGCAGGAAGAGGGUGUGAAGGAGGUAAAACAGGGGGAGUGAUAUAAUGAUUGAAAGAAGGAAGGGAAUAUGGAGCAGCAUCAGUAAAAUCAGGAACAGGAGAAUCAGAUGUAGGUGAAGGAGGGGAGGAAGCAUGUAUAGGAAAAUCUAUGUCAGUGGAAUGUCAAGCAGGAGGAAUAGAAGGAAAAGAUGAAGGAGAAGGGUGAGCAAAAGAAGGUUUAUUCUUAAAAGGAAAACAAGUUUCAUGGAAAGGAGGAUUAUGCUGUCUAAUGGAUUUUCUAGGAGUAGGAAGAGGAUGUGAAGGAGGUAAAACAGGAGGAGAGAUAUCAUGACUGAAAGAAGGAAGGGAAGAUGGAGCAGCAUCAGUAAAAUCAGGAACAGGAGAAUCAGAUGUAAAAUUAGGAACAGGAGAAUCAGGAGAAGCAG